Molecule: ribosomal RNA, 490 nt
Filed under: uncultured bacterium
Lineage: Bacteria
Description: partial 16S ribosomal RNA
Rfam family: Bacterial small subunit ribosomal RNA
Source: RNAcentral
AUUGAACGCUGGCGGCAGGCCUAACACAUGCAAGUCGAACGGUAACAGGAAGAAGCUUGCUUCUUUGCGGAUGAGUGGCGGACGGGUGAGUAAUGUCUGGGAAACUGUCUGCUGGAGGGGGAUAACUACUGGCAACGGUAGCUAAUACCGAAUAACGUCGCAAGACUAAAGAGGGGGAGCUUCGGGCCUCUUGCCAUCGGAUGUGCCCAGAUGGGAUUGGCUUGUAGGUGGGGUUACGGCUCACCUGGGCGGCGAUCCCUAGCUGAUCUGAGAGGAUGGCCGGCCACCCUGGAAGUGAGACACGGUCCAGAGGACUACGGGAGGCAGCAGUCGGGAAUAGGGGACAGUAGGGGCGAGCCUGGUGCAACGAUGCGGCGUGUAUGAAGAAAGCCUUCGGGGUGUAAAGUACUUUCUGCGGUGGGGAAGGGAGUAAAGUUAAUACCUUUGCUCAUUGACGUUACCCGCAGAAGAAGCACCGGCUAACUCCGUG